This 508-nucleotide ribosomal RNA is filed under the name uncultured bacterium. RNAcentral describes it as "partial 16S ribosomal RNA". It matches the Rfam family "Bacterial small subunit ribosomal RNA", at positions 29 to 523 of the family's 1533-position model. The record is from RNAcentral.
AUUGAACGCUGGCGGCAGGCCUAACACAUGCAAGUCGAGCGGCAGCGGGAAAGUAGCUUGCUACUUUUGCCGGCGAGCGGCGGACGGGUGAGUAAUGCCUGGGGAUCUGCCCAGUCGAGGGGGAUAACUACUGGAAACGAUAGCUAAUACCGCAUACGCCCUACGGGGGAAAGCAGGGGACCUUCGGGCCGUGCGCGAUUGGUGGAACCCGGGUGGGAUUAGCUAGUUGGUGAGGUAAUGGCUCACCAAGGCGACGAUCCCUAGCUGGUCUGAGAGGAUGAUCAGCCACACUGGAACUGAGACACGGUCCAGACUCCUACGGGAGGCAGCAGUGGGGAAUAUUGCACAAUGGGGGAAACCCUGAUGCAGCCAUGCCGCGUGUGUGAAGAAGGCCUUCGAGUUGUAAAGCACUUUCAGCGAGGAGGAAAGGUUGGUAGCUAAUAACUGCCAGCUGUGACGUUACUCGCAGAAGAAGCACCGGCUAACUCCGUGCCAGCAGCCGCGGUAA